GGGGAUAUGGCGACGGGUGAGUAACCGUGGGCAAUCUGCCCUUCACUCUGGGACAAGCCCUGGAAACGGGGUCUAAUACCGGAUAAUACUUUCCUCCGCAUGGGGGAGGGUUGAAAGCUCCGGCGGUGAAGGAUGAGCCCGCGGCCUAUCAGCUUGUUGGUGGGGUGAUGGCCUACCAAGGCGACGACGGGUAGCCGGCCUGAGAGGGCGACCGGCCACACUGGGACUGAGACACGGCCCAGACUCCUACGGGAGGCAGCAGUGGGGAAUAUUGCACAAUGGGCGAAAGCCUGAUGCAGCGACGCCGCGUGAGGGAUGACGGCCUUCGGGUUGUAAACCUCUUUCAGCAGGGAAGAAGCGCAAGUGACGGUACCUGCAGAAGAAGCACCGGCUAACUACGUGCCAGCAGCCGCGGUAAUACG
Molecule: ribosomal RNA, 422 nt
Filed under: Streptomyces sp. MBT23
Lineage: Bacteria; Bacillati; Actinomycetota; Actinomycetes; Kitasatosporales; Streptomycetaceae
Description: bacterial SSU rRNA
Rfam family: Bacterial small subunit ribosomal RNA
Source: RNAcentral